This 586-nucleotide ribosomal RNA is filed under the name uncultured bacterium. Its description in RNAcentral is "partial 16S ribosomal RNA". It matches the Rfam family "Bacterial small subunit ribosomal RNA", at positions 355 to 1375 of the family's 1533-position model. The record is from RNAcentral.
UGGGGAAUUUUGGACAAUGGGCGAAAGCCUGAUCCAGCAAUGCCGCGUGUGUGAAGAAGGCCUUCGGGUUGUAAAGCACUUUUGUCCGGAAAGAAAUCCUUGGCUCUAAUACAGUCGGGGGAUGACGGUACCGGAAGAAUAAGCACCGGCUAACUACGUGCCAGCAGCCGCGGUAAUACGUAGGGUGCAAGCGUUAAUCGGAAUUACUGGGCGUAAAGCGUGCGCAGGCGGUUUGCUAAGACCGAUGUGAAAUCCCCGGGCUCAACCUGGGAACUGCAUUGGUGACUGGCAGGCUAGAGUAUGGCAGAGGGGGGUAGAAUUCCACGUGUAGCAGUGAAAUGCGUAGAGAUGUGGAGGAAUACCGAUGGCGAAGGCGAGCCCCUGGGCAAUACUGACGCUCAUGCACGAAAGCGUGGGGGAGCAAACAGGAUUAGAUACCCUGGUAGUCCACGCCCUAAACGAUGUCAACUAGUUGCUGGGGAUUCAUUUCCUUAGUAACGUAGCUAACGCGUGAAGUUGACCGCCUGGGGGAGUACGGUCGCAAGAUUAAAACUCAAAUGAAUUGACGGGGUCAUAGCUGUUUCCU